RNAcentral lists this transfer RNA (60 nucleotides) under Loxodonta africana (African savanna elephant). It matches the Rfam family "tRNA", at positions 7 to 64 of the family's 71-position model. From Rfam's summary of the family: Transfer RNA (tRNA) molecules are approximately 80 nucleotides in length. Lineage: Eukaryota; Metazoa; Chordata; Mammalia; Proboscidea; Elephantidae. The record is from Rfam by way of RNAcentral.
GUGGUGCAAAUGAUUAGCAUGCUUGGCUGCUAACCUAAAGUUGGUGGUUCGAGUCCACCC